Molecule: ribosomal RNA, 253 nt
Filed under: uncultured bacterium
Lineage: Bacteria
Also listed under: 1 other name
Description: partial 16S ribosomal RNA
Rfam family: Bacterial small subunit ribosomal RNA
Source: RNAcentral
CACGUAGGGGACGAGCGUUGUCCGGAUUUAUUGGGCGUAAAGCGCGCGUAGGCGGCCCGGAAAGUCGGUUGUGAAAACCCGGGGCUCAACCCCGGGCCUGCAUCCGAAACUUCCGGGCUGGAGGUAGGUAGGGGAGAUCGGAAUUCCUGGUGUAGCGGUGAAAUGCGCAGAUAUCAGGAGGAACACCGGUGGCGAAGGCGGAUCUCUGGGCCUUACCUGACGCUGAGGCGCGAAAGCUAGGGGAGCGAACAGG